This is a non-coding RNA of Danio rerio (zebrafish), 2165 nucleotides long. Lineage: Eukaryota; Metazoa; Chordata; Actinopteri; Cypriniformes; Danionidae. The record is from Ensembl.
UAGUCCCUUUUUUAAUCUGGGGUAACCACAACGGAAUGAACUGUCAACUUAUCCAGCAUAUGUUUUACGCAGUGGAUGCCCUUACAGCUGCAACCCAUCACUGGGAAACAACCAUAUACGUUUAUUCUCACUCAUACACUACAGACAAUUUAGCCUACCCAAUUCACCUGUACCCCAUGUCUUUGGACUUGUAGGCAAAACCGGAGCACCCAGAGAAAACCCACGCAAACGCAGGGAGAAUUUGCAAACUCCACACAGAAAUGCCAGCUGAUCCAGCCGAGGCUCGAGUCAGCAUCCUUGCUUAUUGGAUGCCUGAUUGCAGUUCAACUCCAAACUCAGUUGGACCAGCUGAUCAGUGUCUUCAGUAUUACCACAAGCUACUGGGCAGAUGUGUGGACACGACAGCUAUGAGCCAGACUUGGGACGUUUGUUGGUUAUAUUUUUCAGGUCAUUCUGUUCUCCUGGUUGUGAGCAUGUGCAGAGGCUGUAUUUGUCAGUGUUAAAAGACUAUCCAGACAUACAAGCAGCCGACAAAGAGUUCUGGAGCAGGACAGACAGGGCAGCACGGUGGCGCAGAGGGUAGCACGUUUGCCUCACAGCAAGAAGGUCGCUGCUUCGAGCUUCGGCUGGAUUGGUGUACGCUGAUGGUCUGCUGAGAAUUCUCCGGAGUUGAAGGGAUCCUCCUGUCAGACAACCUCUCCAAAGUACAAUAGGACUAGGUUCCCACUACAAGGAUUAGAUUUGGCUACUGCAGUCCCGGUUUGGGCCAGCCUCACUUGUGAAGACUAAAGAUGAAGACAACAUACAAGAACAAUUUAGAGGAUGGCGACACACUUUUUAUUCCACCUAUAUAUCCCCUUUUAUGUGUAAGCAAAAUUCCACAAGAUAAAACAAAACUAAAUGACAGGUUGUUUCUUUUAAUUUUAUCGGUUUUCUUGGAACAUUGUACACAAUUUACAACCAGUUAUAUAUAUAUAUAUAUAUAUAUAUAUAUAUAUAUAUAUAUAUAUAUAUAUAUAUAUAUAUAUAUAUAUAUAGGUCAGAGCAAGAAAAUGUUAUGUUUUCUUCUGGAGAAAGUCUUAUUUCUUUUAUUUAUAUUUUAGUUUUGAAUUAAAAAAAAAAAACAUUUUAAGGUCAAUAUUAUCAGCCUCUUUAAGCAAUUUUUUUCGACUGUCUACAGAACAAACCAUCGAUAUACAAUAACUUGCCUAAUUACCCUAACCUGCCUAGUUAAGCCUCUAAAUGUCACUUUAAGCUGUAUAGAAGUGUCUUGAAGAAUAUCUAGUCAAAUAUUAUUUACUCAGUUAUUAGAAAUGAGUUAUUAAAACUAUUGUGAUUAGAAAUGUGUUAAAAAAUAUUUCCGUUAAACAGAAAUUAAGGGAUUAUAUAUAUAUAUAUAUAUAUAUAAUCCCUUAAUUUCUGUUUAACGGAAAUAUUUUUAUAUACAAUAUAUAUAUAUAUAUAUAUAUAUAUAUAUAUAUAUAUAUAUAUAUAUAUAUAUAUAUAUAGAAUGACAAAAUCUGUUUUGUGUCGUGCAUUAGUUUGCUUAAAAAAACUGGUUAUCUCUGAGAAAGUAUUGUUAUUUUAUAAUAUUGAUGUGUUAUUAGUUCAUAGGAGAUUUCAAAUUGUUGAAUGCCAUUUAUAAAAAAAAUUGUACUACAGACUUUAAUAAGAUUUUAUCAGACAAUUAUUUUAAUUUGUAUGAUUUUAUUUACUACUGUAAAUAUUGUUUGCUUGGUAUUUAUUUUGUGUUUGUGUUCUCUUUUAUUAUUGUAACUCCCUGAAGAAAGUCUUUUGGAUACUGAACACAUGACUGGAAUUAUCUUGUAUUUUAAAAUUAUAGUCUUGGAAAUAUGCAUUUUCUUUAACACUAUUUAAGAAAUUAUAAGCAUUAUAACAUGUGCUUACACACGUUAUUUGUGUUUUUACUAUAGUAAACUAUAGUCACCCUUAGUGUACAUCUUUUGAAGUACUUGUAAAUAUUCCUAUGGUCUUAAUAUAAAUGCUGCAAUGAACUUUGUAUUUAAAAUCUUUAUUGCACAGUAGCUUAGCCAUGGUUAUAGUACAACUUGUUGGUUUUGUUUUAAACGUGGUGGUUAUGUGUGAUAAAAGUAUGUUAAUCUAUUUGUAUGUUUGUGAAAAUAUUAAUAAAUCUUCAACUGUUA